AGAUACCCCACUAUGCCUAGCCGUAAAUUUGAACUACACUUAAAACGCCAGGUACUACGAGCCGAGCUUAAAACCCAAAGGAUUUGACGGUGUUCCACCCUACUAGAGGAGCUUGUUCUAUAAUCGAUGAUCCACGAUAUACCUAACCAUUUUUUGCUAUUCAGCCUGUAUACCUCCGUUGUAAGCUCACCGCUUGAGUGAGAAAAAGUAAGCAAAAGGGCCUAAAGCCAAAACGUCAGGUCAAGGUGCAGCUUAUAAAAUGGAAGAAUGGGCUACAAUUUCUAAUUUAGAAUACACGAAUUACUGCAUGAAACAAAGUCAUGAAGGUGGAUUUAGUAGUAAGUGAGGAAUAGAGAGCCUCACUUAAUUUAGCCCUGGGAAGCGUACAAACCGCCCGUCACCCUUUUCGAUAGCUUCAUUAAUAGUUAAAUAACCUAUUCACCGCGUUUUAGAAGAGGCAAGUCGUAACAUGGUAAGUAUACUGGAAAGUGUUCUUGGAAUAACAAAAUGUAGCUUAAUAAAAGCUCUCCGCUUACACCGGGAAAAUGUCCGUGCAACCCAGACCAUUUUGAGCCCCAAAUUUAGCCUUAUGUUACUUUAUAAAUUUAACAGUCUUAAAUUUAUUUAAUAAAACAUUUUAACUCCUUAAGUAAAGGCGAUUGAAAAAGAUCUAAGCGCUAUAGAAACAGUACCGCAAGGGAAAAAUGAAAUAAUAAUGAAAUAAUUAAAGCUACUUACAGCAGAGCAUUUACCUCGUACCUUUUGCAUCAUGGCCUAGCAAGACUUAACAAGCAAAACGAAAUUUAAGUUUUAAAUCCCGAACCUAGGCGAGCUACUUUAAAACAGCCUUUUGGGCCAACCCGUCUCUGUAGUAACAUAGUGGGAAGAUUUGUUAAGUAGAAGUGAAAAGCCUAUCGAGCCUAGAAAUAGCUGGUUAUUCAUGAAAAGAAUAUAAGUUCUGCCUUAAGUUUCCCCCAUGGUCCCUAACAACAUUUUAAACUUAAGAGUUAUUUAAAUAAGGAACAGCUUAUUUAAGACAGGACACAACCUAGACAAUAGGGUAAAAUUUUAAUUACUCCCAAGUGGGCCUGAAAGCAGCCACCUUUUAAAAAGCGUCAAAGCUUAACCUUAACUCCCUAAAAUACCAUUAACCUUUAUGAACCCCUAAUUUAUAAUGAAUGACUCCAUAUAAUUAUGGAAGACACCAUGCUAGGAUUAGUAACAAGAAUUUAUAAUUCUCCAAAAUGCAAACAUAAACCAAUAUGGAUAAACCAUUGGUAAUUACCGAACCUGAACUUACUGCAAUAACAUCUACAAGAAAACCCUGCAGUAUUUACUCGUUAACCUAACACCAGCGCAUUUCAGGAAAGAUUAAUAAAAAGAGAAGGAAUUCGGCAAAUGACGACCCCGCCUGUUUACCAAAAACAUCGCCUCUUGACUUAUAAAUAAGAGGUCCAGCCUGCCCAGUGAAUUUUUAACGGCCGCGGUAUCCUAACCGCGCGAAGGUAGCAUAAUCACUUGUUCUUUAAAUGGGGACUCGUAUCAACGGCAUCACGAGGGUUAUACUGUCUCCUCUUUUUGAUCAGUGAAAUUGAUCUUCCCGUGAAGAAGCGGGAAUACUUAUAUAAGACGAGAAGACCCCAUGGAGCUUUAAACCAAAUAGCAACUUAACCAUAUAUUGCCCAAUAACUUUAAGCCCGUGCUACAAGGUUUUUGGUUGGGGUGACCGCGGAGUAAAGCACAUCCUCCACGACGGAAAGACUAUAAUCUUUAUUUAAGAACUACAAUUCUAGAAAUUAGUAUACUAACGUUUACUGACCCGACAAUCGAUCAACGGAACAAGUUACCCUGGGGAUAACAGCGCAAUCUACUUCAAGAGCCCAUAUCGACAAGUAGGCUUACGACCUCGAUGUUGGAUCAGGGUAUCCCAGUGGUGCAGCCGCUACUGAAGGUUCGU
This 1957-nucleotide unclassified non-coding RNA is filed under the name Polypedates megacephalus (Hong Kong whipping frog). RNAcentral describes it as "partial contains 12S ribosomal RNA, tRNA-Val, and 16S ribosomal RNA". It matches the Rfam family "Bacterial large subunit ribosomal RNA", at positions 108 to 2576 of the family's 2925-position model. The record is from RNAcentral. Lineage: Eukaryota; Metazoa; Chordata; Amphibia; Anura; Rhacophoridae.